This 468-nucleotide ribosomal RNA is filed under the name uncultured bacterium. RNAcentral's name for it is "partial 16S ribosomal RNA". It matches the Rfam family "Bacterial small subunit ribosomal RNA", at positions 28 to 507 of the family's 1533-position model. The record is from RNAcentral.
GACGAACGCUGGCGGCGUGCUUAACACAUGCAAGUCGAACGGUUAAGCUCCAUCUUUCUGGCGUGGAUAAGUGGCGCACGGGUGAGUAACACGUGAGCAACCUCCCCCUGACUCUGGAAUAAGCCCUGGAAACGGCGUCUCUUACUGCAUAUGAGAACUUUCCGCACGGGCUUUUUCUUUUAAGUUUUUCGUUUGGGGAUGGGCUCGCGGCCUAUCAGCUUGUUGGUGAGUUAAUGGCUCACCAAGGCGACGACGGGUAGCCGGCCUGAGAGGGCGACCGGCCACACUGGGACUGAGACACGGCCCAGACUCCUACGGGAGGCAGCAGUGGGGAAUAUUGCACAAUAGGCGAAAGCCUGAUACAGCGACGCCGCGUGAGGGAUGACGGCCGUCGGGUUGUAAACCUCUUUCAGCAGGAAAGAAGAGAAAGUGACGGUAACUGCAGAAGAAGCACCGGCUAACUACGUG